GUGUAAAUUUUAUAUUUUAUAAAACAAAUAACAAAACAGCCCAAAACCCCCCUUUCCACCACCUCUCCGACUCCACUGCCACCACUGAUAUCAUAUGGGAUGAUAAAUUGCCUCUCAAUUACCACCAUCUUGUUGACGAAUACCUAGUUAAUUACGAACCCUAGAAAAUUGGGGAAAUAUGAAGCUUAUUCGCGGCUGACCCGGCCUGUUAGAUUUGACGUCGGAAAUAAGGACUUUUGGUUGGAUAAAAGGACUGGAGGGGUAUGUUUGUCAUUUUCCUGCAAGGCAUUCACCAUUACUGGAAUUGAUCAUCGUGGAUACUGAAAUCUUAUUCAGACAAAUGAAUCAAGAUAUCAUACAAUUGCAUACCUUCAACAAAUAUGGUGGCUUGAGGUAGAAGGAGACGCCGGCUUUAAAUUUACAGCCGGGACGUAUUCCUUGUUGAUCGAGUUCCAGCUCAGCACACCUGAUGGUCAACAUGCUGUUUCAAAGUGUUUUGAGUCUGCGCGGUCGAUUUUUGUUUUUUUUUUCUCACACCUUCGAUUGACUGACGAUGGUAGAGGUAUGGUGUCGGAGGUGGAAUCCCAUGCAUUGUUUCACAAAAACUCGCCGUAGAUGAGGAUAAUUUCAACCUAUCCGGAAGCUACUGGAGUUGUUAAAACGAUGUAGGCUUAUUCUACCGUUGGAACACCUGACGUUUUGCUGAAGAAAGGAUAUGGAAUGGAGUGUGAUCGGUGGUCUCUUGGGGCUAUCAUGUAUGACAUGCUUGUGGGUUACCCACCCUUUUAUUCAGAUGAACUCAUGUCAACUUGUAGAAAGGUCAAAUCAAAGUUCGUUAUCCUUUAUCGUUGUUGUUAUCGAUGCUUAUAAGUUCUACGUUGCUUAUACAGAUAGUUCGAUGCUUAGGUCUCUAUAUCUGCUAUAGUUAGUUGGAGAGUUACAGUUUUUAGCUCAGUUUUUUGCCACCAUAUAUAUGGAAGAGAUGUGUAGUCAUUUGUUA
Long non-coding RNA from Helianthus annuus (common sunflower), 1000 nucleotides. RefSeq lists it as uncharacterized. The record is from RefSeq and is a predicted model, not a curated record. The transcript has 5 exons. NCBI's taxonomy places the organism in Eukaryota, Viridiplantae, Streptophyta, Magnoliopsida, Asterales, Asteraceae.